Molecule: ribosomal RNA, 254 nt
Filed under: uncultured bacterium
Lineage: Bacteria
Description: partial 16S ribosomal RNA
Rfam family: Bacterial small subunit ribosomal RNA
Source: RNAcentral
UACGUAGGGUGCGAGCGUUAAUCGGAAUUACUGGGCGUAAAGCGUGCGCAGGCGGUUAUUUAAGUCAGGUGUGAAAGCCCUGGGCUUAACCUAGGAAUUGCGCUUGAAACUGGAUAGCUUGGAGUGCGGCAGAGGGAGGUGGAAUUCCACGUGUAGCAGUGAAAUGCGUAGAGAUGUGGAGGAACACCGAUGGCGAAGGCAGCCUCCUGGGCCAGCACUGACGCUCAUGCACGAAAGCGUGGGGAGCAAACAGG